Molecule: non-coding RNA, 1866 nt
Organism: Camellia sinensis
Lineage: Eukaryota; Viridiplantae; Streptophyta; Magnoliopsida; Ericales; Theaceae
Source: RefSeq, a predicted model, not a curated record
UUGGCUAAUUGGCUAAAAUAGCCUCUUGCCAAACGAGGCUUUAACCUUAAUUUCUCAGAGAAUUUCACAGUAAGCAUUCAAAAGCACAAAACAAGGAUUGAAGAUAUAUCAGAAAACAUGUACGAGGGUCGGGUUAUUACAUAUACUACAUGCAUUCAAUACGCGGAAGCUUAAGUAAAUUCCAAGCAUUCUAUAAUCAUAACAACAUUGUUAAUGUUACAAAAUCAUAUCACAUGCAUUAAUAAAUUCAUUGAUUUUAAGACCUGAAUCUAUAGCAUGUGAUCGAUAAGCAAUAAUAUCUAAAUUAUUACAAAUUCAUGCCUUUUUGGCUACAUGUUUCCAAGAUUAUACUUGGUUACAACAAAAGUGGGUGUUAAGCUCCAUCAGCUCCAACAUCCUCUCAAGGUAUCCCUUUUCUAUCCCCUUAGCGGAGGCUAUCAACACCUAAAAUGUUUUUUCACAUAGGGUGAGCUAAAAGCCUAGUAGAGACAAGUUUAAUAAUAUAUAUAGUGUUUAAUGAAACUAUCACUGCUAGAAAAUGAGGCUUUUGACACGGAAUUUUUUGCGACGGUUUCAAAAUCGUCGCAAAAAGUAACCGUUUGCGACGGCAAAAAAAACUGUCGCGAAAUUAUCUUUUUUGCGACGACAUUUGAUUGUCGCAAAAAAGGCACCGACUAAAUACCACUAUUAGAGAUGGAAAAUCGAAGACUGGCAAAAAGUAAUAUUAUACGUGAUGGUAUGUUACUCGUCUUUCUUUUUUUUUUUUGGAACGCUCUUUGUUAACCCAUCGCAAAAAAUUUUAUUUUUGCAAAAAAAAAAUAAGGAUGUAAAACGAAGGGUUGAGACCACUUGAAGAAGAUGAAUAACUUUCUAAAACGACGUCGUUUUGGUGAGGUAGUUCAAAAUAAUAAUAAUAAAACAAAAGCCUCUAUUCUCUUGGUUACGUAUUUCAGAAAAGAGAGAGAGAGAGAGAGAGAAGACGAAGAGCUAAGGAGUCACUGUCCUGUCCCCUGCUCGUCAGCCGCUGCCGCCGAGGAGUGGUUGAGUUCAGAUUCAAGAAGCUGGUAUUCAUUCAACAGAUUCAACAGAUGCAGAGAAAAGAACUGAAGUUUAAAAAGAAGCAAGUAAAACAUGUAAAAGAAGUUGCUAAGUUUGAAAUAUGUCGUAAUAACAUACUACAACAAGAGCUAUGUUGCGUAAGGCAGGAUUUUGUUCAAUUUUCGCAUCGCCUGGAUGUACUAGAUAACUGUUUCUCACAUUGGGGUGAAGGUAGUGAUGACCUAGAAAAGAGCAUACACAAGUUUUUUCCCCCUUCUUUGUUGUUGCGUUGCUACGAGAGCUUGAAGGAGUAACUAUACCACCUGAAAGAAUCUAUGGUCUGGGAACUAGGUGAGAACAUUUUUAAGUAUAUACAUAUAUAUUUUGUGUGUUAUUACAAAUGAAAAUAACUCUGGCUGGUCUUUUGAGCACCUCUUUGAAAUUUCAGAUAAUCAACUUAUUUAAACUAUUCUUAUUUGUAUUACCAAACAAUCUAACACAAUCUUUUUUUUUCUUUUUGAUUUUUUAUGCUUAUUUGUUUUCCUACAUGUUUUUGAUGAGAGCAAAUGGUGAGUCAGAGUUUUCUUUGAUCAUUGCCACACUCUGGACAACCAGUCAAUCGCUCCGAUUGUCUUUCUGAAAAUCCGAGCAUUUCGAGAUGCAGCCCUGUUGAGUACGUGAUGAUAUCUUCGCAUAUCGAUAUUGGAGCUUACUAUUGAUAUCAAAACAAGAUGUAAUACAUAUGUUUUUUUUUAUUUGUAUUAUCGAUACUUUUGUUUUGUUUUAGAUACAAAAAUUUGAGUUAUUGAAUAUAAAAAAUUAUUAGUA